AGAGUUUGAUCAUGGCUCAGGAUGAACGCUAGCUACAGGCUUAACACAGUGCAAGUCGAGGGCAGCAUGAAACUUAGCUUGCUAAGUUUGAGUGGCGACCGGCGCACGGGUGAGUAACACGUAUCCAACCUACCGUUUACUACGGGAUAGCCUUACUGGAAAAGGAGAUUAAUACCGUAUGGUAUUCUAAAGUUUCAUGACAUUAGAAUUAAAGGUUUACCGGUAAUCGAUGGGGAUGCGUUCCAUUAGAUAGUAGGCGGGGUAACGGCCCACCUAGUCAGCGAUGGAUAGGGGUUCUGAGAGGAAGGUCCCCCACAUUGGAACUGAGACACGGUCCAAACUCCUACGGGAGGCAGCAGUGAGGAAUAUUGGUCAAUGGGCGAGAGCCUGAACCAGCCAAAGUAGCGUGAAGGAUGACUGCCCUAUGGGUUGUAAACUUCUUUUAUAAAGGAAUAAAGUGGUCCACGUGUGGAUUUUUGUAUGUACUUUAUGAAUAAGGAUCGGCUAACUCCGUGCCAGCCGCCGC
This 526-nucleotide ribosomal RNA is filed under the name uncultured bacterium. Its description in RNAcentral is "bacterial SSU rRNA". It matches the Rfam family "Bacterial small subunit ribosomal RNA", at positions 8 to 518 of the family's 1533-position model. The record is from RNAcentral.